AUUGCAUCUUGGCCUUUUGGCUAAGAUCGAGUGUAGUAUCUGUUUUUACCAGUUUAAUAAAAUCAGUUACAGUUUUCAUUCUAUUUGAUGUCCAAGUAAUCCCUUAUUUACCCUUU
Molecule: non-coding RNA, 116 nt
Organism: Myotis lucifugus (little brown bat)
Lineage: Eukaryota; Metazoa; Chordata; Mammalia; Chiroptera; Vespertilionidae
Source: Rfam